This is a non-coding RNA of Coffea arabica (coffee), 1759 nucleotides long. NCBI's taxonomy places the organism in Eukaryota, Viridiplantae, Streptophyta, Magnoliopsida, Gentianales, Rubiaceae. The record is from RefSeq and is a predicted model, not a curated record.
CAUCAAGUCGCCGUGCCAGUGCGGCGGCGUCGUCAUGCUGUACGAAACGACAGUAUGAGCUUAGUUGCAGCAGCUCCAACAACACUAGUGUUUCAGCCACAAUUCGAUUCUGCUGUCUACAAUUACAAGAAGAAGCCAAUCAUCAACGCUGCCUUCCCAUCAUCAUCCGCUCUUACUCGAACUAAAAGGCUUCACAUUAUUGUUCCCCGCGCUGUAUCCGCUUCUCCUGGCAAGUUCCCGCUAUAAUUGCCCUAGUAGUAUCCCAGUUACUGUAUUACUCUAUUGGCCUCGAAUCCUUUUUUAACAUUUUUCCAGCAAUCAGAGUAAUCAGAAUUUAGAGAUGCGAGCCUUGGAUUUCUUUUUUCCGUUUCAAAAAGGUGUAUGAUUCUAUUCUCUUAUGAUUGCCACAUCAUGUUAAUGGUGAAAUAGGAGCUGAAUCUUCUGAGGUGACGUCCGAAAACUUGUUAGACGGCGUGCAAGUCUUUGACUUGAAUGGAAGUAAGGUUGCCAUUUCUGAGCUGUGGAGAGACAGGAAAGCUGUCGUUGCAUUUGCUCGCCAUUUUGGCUGUGUGCUUUGUCGCAGAAGGGCUGGUUAUCUUGCUUCUCACAAGUGGGAAAACUAACAACCGGAUUGGAAACACAGGAAUCAACUUAAGUAUCUGAUUUGUGGGAUACAACUGUCUUUGUCAAUUACUAUUAAAGAUGCUGACUAACAAGUCAAACUGAAGAAAAAAAUGUUAAUAGUGUGAAGAGCACAGAUCUCCUGAACACAGAAAAGAAUCAGUGAGAAAAUGGAUGCAGCUGGUGUGGCACUGGCUUUAAUUGGACCGGGUAGUGUGGAUCAGGCAAGGGCAUUUGCUGAGCAAACAAAAUUCAGAGGAGGUAAGUUUGAAAGACCUUUCCUUGGAACAAUCAGUGUCACAAAUAUUCAUCGGAAAUCAAAGGCAAUAUUGCACAGAAUUUAAUGCCCUUUUGGAUGUCUGUUUUUGGUCUUUACUAUUUUUCUUCCAUUUUCAAGUGCUAAUACUGCCCGGGAAAAGAAAAUGAUUUCUGUCUUAUUAGACUCAUGAGUCAGGAGAACAUUCUUGAACCAAAUGGACAGAAUUGCUGAAUAAUAUCUAUGUAAUGUUGGUGAUUGAUGAUUUAAAAGAAAUUUCCGCUCAAUUCUUGUACAAAGCACAUGGAUCCCCAACAAACGAAAUGCAUAACAUCUUCCCAAAGUUGAAGGCAUUGGUGAAGGAAUUGAUCAAAUUGUCGUUUAAACGCUUUAAUGGUAUUCUAUUCUACAUUUCAGAAGUAUACGCAGAUCCCAGCCACUCAUCAUACGAGGCACUCAGAUUUGUUUCUGGUGUUUCAACAACAUUUACUCCUGGGGCUGGCCUGAAAAUAAUACAAGCGUACAUGGAAGGUUAUCGACAAGAUUGGGGGCUUUCCUUUGAGAAGGAAACUAGGACAAGAGGUGGCUGGCAGCAAGGUGGGAUCAUAGUUGCAGGUCCUGGUAAACAUAAUAUAUCGUACAUCCACAAGGACAAAGAAGCCGGAGAUGAUCCAGAUAUAGAGGACGUCUUGAGAGCAUGUUGUCCGUAAUUAGCGAAUUGAAGUCUUUCUCCACCCUCCAAAGCAAUAUUAUUUGUUACAUCUCUUAAUCUUCUAAAUUCAGAGAGUUUAGCGAGGGUAAUCUCUUGUUUUAUACGUCAUUAUACCACAUAAUUUUUGGGUUUCAAGGUAUAAAUCCAUAGGUACCGGGCCUUUCAUUUCC